AGCGAACGUUAGCGGCGGGCCUAACACAUGCAAGUCGAGCGAGAAAAGGGCUUCGGCCCUGAGUAAAGCGGCGGACGGGUGAGUAACACGUAGGUAAUCUUCCCUUGAGCGGGGGACAACGAGCCGAAAGGCUCGCUAAUACCGCAUAAGUUCCCAAGGUCCUCGGAUCUUGGGAGGAAAGCUAGGUAGCAAUAUCCGGCACUCGAGGAGGAGCCUGCGUAGCAUCAGCUAGUUGGUGGGGUAAUGGCCUACCAAGGCGAAGACGCUUAGCUGGUCUGAGAGGAUGAUCAGCCACACUGAAACUGAGACACGGUUCAGACUCCUACGGGAGGCAG
This 335-nucleotide ribosomal RNA is filed under the name uncultured Pseudomonadota bacterium. Its description in RNAcentral is "bacterial SSU rRNA". It matches the Rfam family "Bacterial small subunit ribosomal RNA", at positions 29 to 351 of the family's 1533-position model. The record is from RNAcentral. Lineage: Bacteria; Pseudomonadati; Pseudomonadota.